CCUACGGGGGGCAGCAGUGGGGAAUAUUGCACAAUGGGGGAAACCCUGAUGCAGCGACGCCGCGUGAGUGAAGAAGUAUUUCGGUACGUAAAGCUCUAUCAGCAGGGAAGAAAAUGACGGUACCUGACUAAGAAGCCCCGGCUAACUACGUGCCAGCAGCCGCGGUAAUACGUAGGGGGCAAGCGUUAUCCGGAUUUACUGGGUGUAAAGGGAGCGUAGACGGCAGCGCAAGUCUGGAGUGAAAUCCCAUGGCUUAACCAUGGAACUGCUUUGGAAACUGGGCAGCUAGAGUGCAGGAGGGGUAGGCGGAAUUCUUGGUGUAGCGGUGAAAUGCGAGGAUAUUAGGAGGAACACCAGUGGCGAGGGCGGCUACCGGGACUGUAACUGAGGUGGGGGCUCGAAGGCGUGGG
Molecule: ribosomal RNA, 410 nt
Filed under: uncultured bacterium
Lineage: Bacteria
Description: partial 16S ribosomal RNA
Rfam family: Bacterial small subunit ribosomal RNA
Source: RNAcentral